Oncorhynchus tshawytscha (Chinook salmon) is the source of this 491-nucleotide long non-coding RNA. NCBI's taxonomy places the organism in Eukaryota, Metazoa, Chordata, Actinopteri, Salmoniformes, Salmonidae. The record is from Ensembl.
AUGUGACAGUGGAAUGAUCUGACAAACAGAUGAAUCUUUAUAUAAAGCGAUGACUGUUCCCUCUCUCAUCCCUCAUCCUCCUCUUUUCUCUCUCUCUCUGUAGGAGCGAGCCAGUCUGGAGGUGGAGAGGGCCCGGGUUGAGGAGCUGAGGAGUAGGUUGGAGGAGAAGGAGACACUGAUCCCCAGUCAGCCAGAGGGCCAGAGAGAGCAUCUACUGGUCCAACUACAACAGGAGAAAGAGAUGGUGGAUGCAGCCUGCCGGGUGUUCGAGGACUGGGAAUUCCGUGUCCUGGAGAGCGAGGCCGGAAUAGAGGAGGAGGAGAGCGAAGGAAAGAUAGAAGGGAAGGAGAGAGGGAACGACGAAGAGAAGGAGAAGGAGAUCUCAUGCCAAAAGCAUGCUGUCAACUCAGCGCAGGAGCGAGUCCAGCAGCUUGAGAAGCAGUUGAAGGAGAUGGAGAGAGAGAAGGAGAGAGAGAUGAAUGCCUUGAGGA